Etheostoma spectabile (orangethroat darter) is the source of this 171-nucleotide long non-coding RNA. RefSeq lists it as uncharacterized. The transcript has 3 exons. NCBI's taxonomy places the organism in Eukaryota, Metazoa, Chordata, Actinopteri, Perciformes, Percidae. The record is from RefSeq and is a predicted model, not a curated record.
UACUGCGUGCAAGCUUUAUGCACAUACUCUGCCUCUUCUUCUCAGUUUGUAGGUGAAUUUCUGUGGUAGAAACAGCACCACCUAUAGGCCUGGAAUAUGAAGUAGCGUGUUGAGUCAUUUACAAAUGGAUCCGUUUGGCUGCAAAUAUUCUUGAAAAGAAUCCAAGGAAGA